This is a long non-coding RNA of Bactrocera neohumeralis, 1060 nucleotides long. RefSeq lists it as uncharacterized. The record is from RefSeq and is a predicted model, not a curated record. The transcript has 2 exons. NCBI's taxonomy places the organism in Eukaryota, Metazoa, Arthropoda, Insecta, Diptera, Tephritidae.
AUAAAGUCACACACCAAAAUGAAAGCAAAAUAUUAAGUAUGAAUCACCACAUGAUUAGGUGAAGUCGUAGGAGUAUUCUUCGCUACAAAGGUAACUCAGUAUCCUGCUUAAGCAGCUGCGGACGUUAUUCCUUUAUAGUUCCAAAGUAUGGAUCACUAGACCCUUAUAGGUGUAAAAAUCGUUUUGGGCUUACCACCAAUUUGUUAAACUUCUUCGCCAAGUUUGCCGAAAAUGAGACUACAGAGAUGUUGCGAUUUCAAUGUAGCAAUAGCUCGACAAUUGAGAAGGAAUUGGUAAUUUGCGCCCGACAAGAUAGGUAACCUCACCUCAUACAAGCCUAUUGGUCGGUGUUCAAUCAGAACACCUGCCAUGGCAGUGAGAUGAACCUUGCUAAGGGCAAGUAGGACCUCUUUUGGUUGUUGAUCAGCACAUGCCAGGCGGAAGUAAAUAAAUGCAAUGCUAAAGCGCAACAAGACACCAAUGGAACGGCUCGUUAAUAAUAUGAUGAAAUUGGAGUGAAGGUGCUCACCCAGCAAGCUUCUUGGUUUUGUAGUUUCCGCAGUGACCAGCCACCCAAACAAGUUAGAUGACAAGAUAGCUUGAUGCUACUGAUAAGGAGGUCAAACACUCUUUGACUACACUUGAGGGCACUAUCAGUGAAUCUGAAGCUGAUAUUGAUGGAGACCUCCUGACAAAAGGAACCCCCUCUGACAGCAAAUGCCUGGUUAUUAAAAUAUUUCUAUACAGCUUCAUUAGAAAAUUAACCAUAGGAAUAAGAAUCAGUUUAUUAGGGAAAGAGAACGAAGAGGUUCCAGAAAACAUAAAAAACUAGUUAUGGUAUACUCGACCGAUUGCGACCAGAAGAGAGUAAUGACAUGUUGGAAGCUAAGUUUUGUUUUGACAUCCCUUUAAACGUAUGUGUACAAGUAAAAGAAAUAAUUUUCGAGUAAAGAUAUAUUUUUCGCACAAUAACCAAUCACCUUUUUUUAUUUAAAAACACUACUUGCUGCUUUUUUCGACGCUAGCUUGCACCAAUUGUAUGUUGUUCUUAAGGAAACAG